This 427-nucleotide long non-coding RNA is filed under the name Cicer arietinum (chickpea). RNAcentral describes it as "long non-coding RNA (CARI_LNC001088)". The record is from RNAcentral. Lineage: Eukaryota; Viridiplantae; Streptophyta; Magnoliopsida; Fabales; Fabaceae.
UUUUUUUUUAUAUAAAUUUAUCCUGCUCUCACUUCUUCUCCCUUCAUCUCUAUUUUCUUCUAUAGGCUUUGAGCAAGGAAACAAAUUAAAUUAUAAUGAGGUUUUGCGAACCACGCAUGGUGUUUUUGUAUGGGAAGAGAAAGUUGAGGAGCUUCUUUUGGAGGGUUAGAGCUGAUUUCAAGAGGGAAAUCAAGGGUUGGUCUAAUAAUAUUAACAACAACAAUUUCAACUAUGAUCCUUUUAGUUAUUCCCUCAACUUUGACGAUGGCAAUUUUGGUUUCUUUUGCUGAACAAAUAGUAUAUUGAAGCUAUGAGCUAACAAUAUGCUUUUAAUUUGAAAACUAGCUAGCUCGAGGUUAACUAGUUUUUAUUUAUUUAUAAAUUAUGUGGUUCUCGUGCUUGUGAUAUAUCAAAUCAAAUGGGGGAG